UAGGGAAUCUUGCGCAAUGGGCGAAAGCCUGACGCAGCCAUGCCGCGUGAAUGAUGAAGGUCUUAGGAUUGUAAAAUUCUUUCACCGGGGAAGAUAAUGACGGUACCCGGAGAAGAAGCCCCGGCUAACUUCGUGCCAGCAGCCGCGGUAAUACGAAGGGGGGCUAGCGUUGCUCGGAAUUACUGGGCGUAAAGGGCGCGUAGGCGGACAUUUAAGUCAGAGGUGAAAGCCCCAGGGCUCAACCUUGGAAUUGCCUUUGGAUACUGGAUGUCUUGAGUUCGGGAGAGGUGAGUGGAAUGCCGAGUGUAGAGGUGAAAUUCGUAGAUAUUCGGCGGAACACCAGUGGCGAAGGCGACUCACUGGCCCGAUACUGACGCUGAGGCGCGAAAGCGUGGGGAGCAAACAGGAUUAGAUACCCUGGUAGUCCACGCCGUAAACGAUGAGUGCUAGUUGUCGGCAUGCAUGCAUGUCGGUGACGCAGCUAACGCAUUAAGCACUCCGCCUGGGGAGU
This 511-nucleotide ribosomal RNA is filed under the name uncultured bacterium. RNAcentral describes it as "partial 16S ribosomal RNA". It matches the Rfam family "Bacterial small subunit ribosomal RNA", at positions 355 to 881 of the family's 1533-position model. The record is from RNAcentral.